This 558-nucleotide small RNA is filed under the name Pongo abelii (Sumatran orangutan). Its description in RNAcentral is "processed transcript". Lineage: Eukaryota; Metazoa; Chordata; Mammalia; Primates; Hominidae. The record is from RNAcentral.
AAACCUGUCCCCGUCCCUCGUAGCGUUGGGCAGGUCUCCUCCCUCCCUGGGCCGCUGGUUGCGCGCGGGUCGGCAGGAGGACACCCCGUCCUCCGACUUUGGUUCGGAGGCUCCUCGCCCUCCACCUGCGUAGUCGGAGGUGUGCGCGGCUGCAGCUCCGACUACCUGGGAGCGGUUCCGCGCCUCCCCCCACAGUUACCAGGUGACAGGGGUGUUUAUGAAGAACUGGGACUCACUGGAUGAACAUGGGGUCUGUACUGCCGACAAAGACUGUGAAGACGCUUACAGAGUUUGCCAGAUCUUAGACAUCCCUUUCCAUCAAGUGUCCUACGUAAAGGAGUAUUGGAACGAUGUGUUCAGGGGCAGAUGCCAUUGCCACAGGUCACUACGCAAGAACUUCACUGGAAGAUGAAGAAGUCUUUGAGCAGAAGCACAUUAAGAAGCCAGAAGGGCUUUUCAGAAAUCGGUUUGAAGUUAGAAAUGCCAGGUUUCCCAGGAUGCCCUGAGGAGAACCAUCUUCCCUCUGGGGGGAUUAACGAAAGAGUUCGUAAAGAAAAU